CGGCAGGCCUAACACAUGCAAGUCGAGGGGCAGCAUAAAGAUAGUUUACUAUUUUGGUGGCGACCGGCGCACGGGUGAGUAACGCGUAUGCAACCUACCUUAUACAGGAGUAUAGCCCGAAGAAAUUCGGAUUAAUCCUCCAUAGUAUUUUCUAAUGGCAUCAUUUGGAAAAUUAAAGCUUCGGCGGUAUAAGAUGGGCAUGCGUCCUAUUAGCUAGAUGGUAAGGUAACGGCUUACCAUGGCAACGAUAGGUAGGGGGCCUGAGAGGGUGAUCCCCCACACUGGUACUGAGACACGGACCAGACUCCUACGGGAGGCAGCAGUGAGGAAUAUUGGGCAAUGGAGGCAACUCUGACCCAGCCAUGCCGCGUGCAGGAAGAAUGCCCUAUGGGUUGUAAACUGCUUUUAUUUAGGAAUAAACCUCUCUACGUGUAGAGAGCUGAAUGUACUAAACGAAUAAGCACCGGCUAA
Molecule: ribosomal RNA, 471 nt
Filed under: uncultured Bacteroidota bacterium
Lineage: Bacteria; Pseudomonadati; Bacteroidota
Description: bacterial SSU rRNA
Rfam family: Bacterial small subunit ribosomal RNA
Source: RNAcentral